AGAGUUUGAUCAUGGCUCAGGACGAACGCUGGCGGCGUGCCUAACACAUGCAAGUCGAGCGGGAACCUCAGGAGGGGUAACCCUCUUGAGGGGAGAGCGGCGAACGGGUGAGUAACACGUGGGCAACCUGCCCCGGACACCGGGAUAACCCAGGGAAACCUGAGCUAAUACCGGAUACUCCGGCGUGAUCGCAUGGUCGCGCCGGGAAAGCUCCGACGGUCCGGGAUGGGCCCGCGGCCUAUCAGCUUGUUGGUGGGGUAACGGCCCACCAAGGCGACGACGGGUAGCUGGUCUGAGAGGACGGCCAGCCACACUGGGACUGAGACACGGCCCAGACUCCUACGGGAGGCAGCAGUGGGGGAUCUUGCGCUAAUGCGCGAAAGCGUGACGCAGCGACGCCGCGUGGGGGAUGAAGGCCCUCGGGUUGUAAACCCCUUUCGGCAGGGACGAAGCGAAAGUGACGGUACCUGCAGAAGAAGUCCCGGCUAACUACGUGCCAGCAGCCGCGGUA
Molecule: ribosomal RNA, 511 nt
Filed under: uncultured Actinomycetes bacterium
Lineage: Bacteria; Bacillati; Actinomycetota; Actinomycetes
Description: bacterial SSU rRNA
Rfam family: Bacterial small subunit ribosomal RNA
Source: RNAcentral